GAACUUAAUUAAACUAUGUGUCUCAAAUUAAAAAUAAAUAACAAAAGGUUUCAUCUUCAUCCAAUACAUGAGAAAAAUUAAUCUAACAAAAUAUUGGAAUCAAAUACAUAAAAGAAGAAGGGCGUCAACAAUAAAUUGACGGAACAUGAUUAAUUCCAAUUAUGCUCAAGUCGUUUUCUACGUGUAUCUUUGCAGUUACGUGAUUCCGUCUCUCUCUUUUUAUUCUAAUAAGCAACCGCCUUUUUGUUUUUGUCUAAUUUCCCACUUUGCAGCCACCGAAUUUCAUGUCUCUGUUGGUAUGAAUAUAUGUAUAUAUCGACCAGCCUCUCUCUUCUGUAAUCAGCCACCAAAGUGUAUAAAAUAAUUCUGCUUCCUCAAUUUUCCUAGCUGCUCAA
This 395-nucleotide long non-coding RNA is filed under the name Olea europaea (common olive). Its description in RNAcentral is "long non-coding RNA (OEUR_LNC001788)". Lineage: Eukaryota; Viridiplantae; Streptophyta; Magnoliopsida; Lamiales; Oleaceae. The record is from RNAcentral.